Molecule: ribosomal RNA, 253 nt
Filed under: uncultured bacterium
Lineage: Bacteria
Description: partial 16S ribosomal RNA
Rfam family: Bacterial small subunit ribosomal RNA
Source: RNAcentral
UACGGAGGGUGCGAGCGUUGUCCGGAGUUACUGGGCGUAAAGGGCGCGCAGGCGGUCUGGCAAGUUUGGAGUGACAGUGCUCGGCUUAACUGAGCAAGGCCUUCGAAAACUGCUAGACUUGAGCACUCAAGAGGGACAUAGAAUUCCGGGUGGAGUGGUGAAAUGCGUAGAUAUCCGGAGGAAUACCAAAGGCGAAGGCAGUGUCCUGGGGAGUGUCUGACGCUCAGGCGCGAAAGCUAGGGGAGCGAACAGG